CAGCCGCCGCGGGAAUACGUAUGUCACGAGCGUUAUCCGGAUUUAUUGGGCGUAAAGCGCGUCUAGGUGGUUAUAUAAGUCUGAUGUGAAAAUGCAGGGCUCAACUCUGUAUUGCGUUGGAAACUGUAUAACUAGAGUACUGGAGAGGUAAGCGGAACUACAAGUGUAGAGGUGAAAUUCGUAGAUAUUUGUAGGAAUGCCGAUGGGGAAGCCAGCUUACUGGACAAAUACUGACGCUGAAGCGCGAAAGCGUGGGUAGCAAACAGGAUUAGAUACCCCUGUAGUCCCUGUCUCUUAUACA
This 301-nucleotide ribosomal RNA is filed under the name uncultured bacterium. RNAcentral describes it as "partial 16S ribosomal RNA". It matches the Rfam family "Bacterial small subunit ribosomal RNA", at positions 509 to 808 of the family's 1533-position model. The record is from RNAcentral.